UCUGCCCAAUCGGAGCCUCGGCCGCCUCCCGCCGGCGCCCCGCCCGAAGACAAGAGAGCUCGGGAGAGGGGCAGCCCCACGCGCCCUGGGACAGCGAGCGCCGCGGGGAAGCAAUUCCCGGUCCUAAAUAUUUGCUUCAGCACCAGACACUUUAAUCACAUGAGAUGACUCAGCGAAGUCAACCGCCAGGUCGACCUAAAGCGGUCUCAGCCUAUUUCAGAAAAUACAAAAGAGAAAAUUGGCCGGCCCCUCAGAAGCGUUUAAAUUCUGGGACAGCUUCCAACGUUUUCUGUGCAGCUGUGGUGGAGGCGCAACCUGUUCUGCCUGUCCACAUCUCUAGAUAAACUGCUCAAUGGGUCUGCCCCUAGGCCGGUGCCAACAGUCAACCCAGAUAAACACAUUCUCAUUAAAACAUGAAAGCUAAAAAUAGGAAAA
Trichosurus vulpecula (common brushtail) is the source of this 435-nucleotide long non-coding RNA. RefSeq lists it as uncharacterized. The transcript has 2 exons. Lineage: Eukaryota; Metazoa; Chordata; Mammalia; Diprotodontia; Phalangeridae. The record is from RefSeq and is a predicted model, not a curated record.